Molecule: microRNA precursor, 78 nt
Filed under: Schistosoma margrebowiei
Lineage: Eukaryota; Metazoa; Platyhelminthes; Trematoda; Strigeidida; Schistosomatidae
Description: mir-3492 microRNA precursor family
Rfam family: mir-3492 microRNA precursor family
Source: Rfam by way of RNAcentral
AGACUUCUGUAUCUAUGCUGAGAUUUCGUCACACACCAGACUACAAGGGCCGAUGAGACUUCUAAGACAAGUGAAGCA